UUGAUUUUCUGCUCAAGCCUAUGAUUACACUGCUGUCACAUAAGCUGACAUGGGCAUUAAGCAAAUGGUAUUUUUGUUGCUGAAGCAGGUUUCAAAAGCCAGGCACAUAGAUUGUACCAGAGUGUUUUAAUAGGUGCUUUUAAAUGGGGUUGCAACAGAACUAAAACCAUUUUCAAAGCCAAGAGCAAAUCAAUGUGUAAUCUGAUCCAGAUAGUUCUCAGAUACAGGCUUCCAAGGACUAUGGGCCUCAUACUCCUACAGUGAGAGAAUAUAAAUUAUACACUUUUUACUGUAAGACUUGAAUGUCAGUCAAUAGAAUCAAAGAAGGAUCAACAGAUGUAACAAGAGCGGACGAUUUCAAGAACUGGUUCAAAAGAUUAUGGCCUGGUUUCUUCUGAUUCUGCGGCUCUUCAAAAUAGAUCCUUUGGAACUGUGGGGUAACCAGGAUCAGAAGUGCCGCCUGAAGAUGGGACGGAACUGCCACAAUCUCAUGAUAAAACUUGAACAGAUGAGGAGUUGCUUCUUAUGGAUGAGCAAAGAAAAUGGAUUCUUGAGAUGGAAGCUACUCCUUGGUGAAGAUGCCAUGAAGACUGUUGAAAAGACAACAAAGCGAGAUUCAUUCUUUGACCUGUAAGACAAGAACCCUGCAAUUCUGCCAAAAAAGGAUUUAGAACAUCACAUGAACUUAGUUGUAAAGCAGCAGCAGAGUUGGAGGAUGGACUCCAGUUUUGAAAAAGUUCUACUGUGGGUAAAAUGCUACCAAACAGCAUCACAUGCUACAGAGAAAUUGUUCCUGAAAGAAGAGUCAAUCCGUGCGGCAAACUUCAGGGUUGUCUUCCUUUCAGAAAUGGCCACGGCCACCACCCUGAUGGGUCGGCAGCCUUAAACAUCAGACAAGACCCUCCACCAGCAAAAGGAUUAUGGCUCCUGAAAGCUCAGAUGGUGGUUAGUAUUUUUCAACAACAGAGUAUUUUUAAUUAUGGUAUGAACCUAGUUUUUCAGACACAGCUACUGCGCAUUUCAUAGGCUACAUGCACUGUAAACAUAACUUUUAUGUGCACCGGGAAACCAAAGCGCUCAUCUGACUCACGUCAUUGCAAUAUUCGUUUUAUUGCUGUGAUCUGGAACUAAAUCCACAAUAUCUCCAAGGUAUGCCUCUAAUUUUUCCUAAUUUUGCACACAUUGGGAAAAAAGCUUAGCAUAAACUUAUGUAAUCUCCUCGCCAUCAGCAGCCCUGCAUACUUGUUCCUACUGGCGAAUAUUUGGUUGUUGUUUAGCUAUUCACCUCGGCUCCAUGGAGGAGUGCGUGGCUUGGCUCCAGAGAAAUCAUUCUGUUAUCACAGCUCUACACCCACAGACUUGUUUUUGUUUUAUUUCCUUCUUUGGAAAGGUAGUUUGUGAGAAGAGAAUCGGGGUCUUCCUUG
This is a long non-coding RNA of Callorhinus ursinus (northern fur seal), 1424 nucleotides long. RefSeq lists it as uncharacterized. The record is from RefSeq and is a predicted model, not a curated record. Lineage: Eukaryota; Metazoa; Chordata; Mammalia; Carnivora; Otariidae.